UUCUAGAGGACCUACGAACUCUUCGUGUCAAAAACGAGGUUCUGCUGACUGGCAGAGGAGUGAAGCAGGAGUACAACAAGGUUGAUGUGAGCUGACCGAGCAGCAGCUGCAGGAAACAACAUCUAAAGACUGUAAUUAGUGCAGGAGCACAAACACACUCGACCCGCUUCGUUUCCUCGUCUGUGAAGUGAUUCGUUCGGAGAGAGGAAGUUUGAAACGCGGCGCAGAUGGAACCGCAGCUCCGCCCUGCGCCACAGCUAAUCAGUGCCACAGCAACGAUGAGCCGUGAGAACGGUUCCUGUUCUCCUCUUUAUGCCACAAAACAUCCAGACAUUCAAAAUCAAUGAACCACAACAACAAAACUGCUGGCCGCUGCGCAGCAGCAACUACAGCGGCGCUGCUGGGGGUCAUGGAGGUUCUACCAGUUACCAGUCAGUCCAGACAGCAAAGCUAAAUAUUUAGUCUGAAGUUAAAUAUUUAGUCUGAAAGGAAAGAAUGGAGCCGUCAUUCUACAGCAUCAUACCAGCAGAACCCGGUUCACUUCCUGUUUCCUGGAGAUUCCCAGGAUGGAAGCAACCUUCAUGUUUCCAUCGCUCUUCCUCAGCUCAGCCCUCCUCUUCCUCAGAACAUGAAGGAUCCUGUUGUGUCAAACGAGGCUGACCUUGAAUCAGUGACCUUGAAUCAGUGACCUUGGAUCAGUGACCUUGGAUUGGAGAGUGAAGGUCACCGCCUCUGGCUUGUUUUCUUGUUUCUGCAGAUGGAGUUCUGGGCUCGUUUGUUUUUGUCUGUUCUGUUGUAACCUCUGGAUUCUUGGUGAAUAAAUGAACUUUGGUGAAUUGGA
This is a long non-coding RNA of Gambusia affinis (western mosquitofish), 841 nucleotides long. RefSeq lists it as uncharacterized. Lineage: Eukaryota; Metazoa; Chordata; Actinopteri; Cyprinodontiformes; Poeciliidae. The record is from RefSeq and is a predicted model, not a curated record. The transcript is spliced from 4 exons.